RNAcentral lists this ribosomal RNA (465 nucleotides) under uncultured bacterium. RNAcentral describes it as "partial 16S ribosomal RNA". It matches the Rfam family "Bacterial small subunit ribosomal RNA", at positions 28 to 507 of the family's 1533-position model. The record is from RNAcentral.
GAUGAACGCUGGCGGCGUGCUUAACACAUGCAAGUCGAACGGAAAGGCUCCUGCUUGCAGGGGUACUCGAGUGGCGAACGGGUGAGUAAAACGCGGGGGAACUGCCCUGCACUGCGGGGUAAACCUGGGGAACUGGGUCGAAUACCGGGGAGGAUGUAGUGAUGGAUGCGGUUGUGUAAUGUAUGUCGGUGUUGGAUGAGCUCGUAGCCUAUCAGCUUGUUGGUGGGGUAAUUGCCUACCAAAGCGUCGACGGGUAGCCGGCCUGAGAGGGUGUACGGCCACAUUGGGCCUGCGGUAGGGCCCAGACUCCUACGGGACGCAGCAGUGGGGAACAUUGCACAAUGGGGGCGAGCCUGAUGCAGCGACGCCGCGUGGGGGAUACCGGGUUUCGAGUUGUAAACUACUUUCGCUGGAGAUGAAGCCCACGUGACGGUACCUGGAGAGGAAGCCACGGCUAACUACGUG